Molecule: ribosomal RNA, 427 nt
Filed under: uncultured bacterium
Lineage: Bacteria
Description: partial 16S ribosomal RNA
Rfam family: Bacterial small subunit ribosomal RNA
Source: RNAcentral
UGGGGAAUAUUGGACAAUGGGCGAAAGCCUGAUCCAGCCAUGCCGCGUGUGUGAAGAAGGUCUUCGGAUUGUAAAGCACUUUAAGUUGGGAGGAAGGGCAUUAACCUAAUACGUUAGUGUUUUGACGUUACCGACAGAAUAAGCACCGGCUAACUCUGUGCCAGCAGCCGCGGUAAUACAGAGGGUGCAAGCGUUAAUCGGAAUUACUGGGCGUAAAGCGCGCGUAGGUGGUUUGUUAAGUUGGAUGUGAAACCCCCGGGCUCAACCUGGGAACUGCAUUCAAAACUGACUGACUAGAGUAUGGUAGAGGGUGGUGGAAUUUCCUGUGUAGCGGUGAAAUGCGUAGAUAUAGGAAGGAACACCAGUGGCGAAGGCGACCACCUGGACUAAUACUGACACUGAGGUGCGAAAGCGUGGGGAGCAAACA